CUUGGUCAUUUAGAGGAAGUAAAAGUCGUAACAAGGUUUCCGUAGGUGAACCUGCGGAAGGAUCAUUACAAGUGAGGCUACCGAACGUUGGAAACAGCGGUUAGGAGCUUACACCCACCCGUGUUUACAUACUAUUGUUGCUUUGGCGGGCCGUGGCCUCCACUGCGGGCUCUGCUCGUGUGUGCCCGCCAGAGAACCAAACUCUGAAUGUUAGUGAUGUCUGAGUACUAUCUAAUAGUUAAAACUUUCAACAACGGAUCUCUUGGUUCUGGCAUCGAUGAAGAACGCAGCGAAAUGCGAUAAGUAAUGUGAAUUGCAGAAUUCAGUGAAUCAUCGAAUCUUUGAACGCACAUUGCGCCCCUUGGUAUUCCGAGGGGCAUGCCUGUUCGAGCGUCAUUACAACCCUCAAGCUCUGCUUGGCAUUGGGCUCCGCGGCUUACCCCGCGGGCCUUAAAAUCAGUGGCGGCGUCUUCAGGCUCUGAACGUAGUAAAUAUUCCUCGUUACGGAGUCCUGGCGGCGGUAGUCAUCAACCCCCAACUUUCUAAGUUUGACCUCGGAUCAGGUAGGGAUACCCGCUGAACUUAAGCAUAUCAAUAAGCGGAGGA
This 606-nucleotide small RNA is filed under the name uncultured Helotiales. Its description in RNAcentral is "eukaryotic LSU rRNA". The stretch from base 243 to 396 matches the Rfam family "5.8S ribosomal RNA". The record is from RNAcentral. Lineage: Eukaryota; Fungi; Ascomycota; Leotiomycetes; Helotiales.